This 896-nucleotide ribosomal RNA is filed under the name uncultured bacterium. RNAcentral's name for it is "bacterial SSU rRNA". It matches the Rfam family "Bacterial small subunit ribosomal RNA", at positions 56 to 965 of the family's 1533-position model. The record is from RNAcentral.
UGCAAGUCGAACGAGCGAGAGAGAGCUUGCUUUCUCGAGCGAGUGGCGAACGGGUGAGUAACGCGUGAGGAACCUGCCUCAAAGAGGGGGACAACAGUUGGAAACGACUGCUAAUACCGCAUAAGCCCACGACCCGGCAUCGGGUAGAGGGAAAAGGAGCAAUCCGCUUUGAGAUGGCCUCGCGUCCGAUUAGCUAGUUGGUGAGGUAAUGGCCCACCAAGGCGACGAUCGGUAGCCGGACUGAGAGGUUGAACGGCCACAUUGGGACUGAGACACGGCCCAGACUCCUACGGGAGGCAGCAGUGGGGAAUAUUGCACAAUGGGGGAAACCCUGAUGCAGCGACGCCGCGUGGAGGAAGAAGGUCUUCGGAUUGUAAACUCCUGUUGUUGAGGAAGAUAAUGACGGUACUCAACAAGGAAGUGACGGCUAACUACGUGCCAGCAGCCGCGGUAAAACGUAGGUCACAAGCGUUGUCCGGAAUUACUGGGUGUAAAGGGAGCGCAGGCGGGAAGACAAGUUGGAAGUGAAAUCCAUGGGCUCAACCCAUGAACUGCUUUCAAAACUGUUUUUCUUGAGUAGUGCAGAGGUAGGCGGAAUUCCCGGUGUAGCGGUGGAAUGCGUAGAUAUCGGGAGGAACACCAGUGGCGAAGGCGGCCUACUGGGCACCAACUGACGCUGAGGCUCGAAAGUGUGGGUAGCAAACAGGAUUAGAUACCCUGGUAGUCCACACUGUAAACGAUGAUUACUAGGUGUUGGAGGAUUGACCCCUUCAGUGCCGCAGCUAACACAAUAAGUAAUCCACCUGGGGAGUACGACCGCAAGGUUGAAACCCAAAGGAAUUGACGGGGGCCCGCACAAGCAGUGGAGUAUGUGGUUUAAUUCGACGCAACGCGAA